AUUGAACGCUGGCGGCAGGCCUAACACAUGCAAGUCGAACGGUAACAGGAAGCAGCUUGCUGCUUCGCUGACGAGUGGCGGACGGGUGAGUAAUGUCUGGGAAGCUGCCUGAUGGAGGGGGAUAACUACUGGAAACGGUAGCUAAUACCGCAUAAUGUCGCAAGACCAAAGAGGGGGACCUUCGGGCCUCUUGCCAUCGCAUGUGCCCAGAUGGGAUUAGCUUGUUGGUGGGGUAACGGCUCACCAAGGCGACGAUCCCUAGCUGGUCUGAGAGGAUGACCAGCCACACUGGAACUGAGACACGGUCCAGACUCCUACGGGAGGCAGCAGUGGGGAAUAUUGCACAAUGGGCGCAAGCCUGAUGCAGCCAUGCCGCGUGUAUGAAGAAGGCCUUCGGGUUGUAAAGUACUUUCGGCGGGGAGGAAGGGAGUAAAGUUAAUACCUUUGCUCAUUGACGUUACCCGCAGAAGAAGCACCGGCUAACUCCGUG
Molecule: ribosomal RNA, 490 nt
Filed under: uncultured bacterium
Lineage: Bacteria
Description: partial 16S ribosomal RNA
Rfam family: Bacterial small subunit ribosomal RNA
Source: RNAcentral